Ruditapes philippinarum (Manila clam) is the source of this 1084-nucleotide long non-coding RNA. RefSeq lists it as uncharacterized. NCBI's taxonomy places the organism in Eukaryota, Metazoa, Mollusca, Bivalvia, Venerida, Veneridae. The transcript has 9 exons. The record is from RefSeq and is a predicted model, not a curated record.
CAGGAGAUUGCAGAGCUUGCUGUAGAGUUGUGGCAAUUCUAUUGACAAUGAGAUCAAACACACAAACCAGUCUGCCUUAUCCUGCUGACAUUUGUAUAAUGGAUUUGCCCAGCUCUGAUUCUGGAACAGUCUAUUAGAAGUUUAAGGGAUUUCGUUCAAAACACAGAAAAUUGAGCUACCUGCAGUAUAGAUCCUGGGCAGACUGGCUGAUAAUUUUGGGUUCCAGCCAGACGAGUUUUAAGGUAGUGCAUUCCAGGAGAUGAGUGUAAAUAUAGUGUAUUGGUGCAUACUCCAGGUGUACAUAGCUCACAGAGUGAGGGAUUUCAAGGUCAAACUUCAGAUAGGAAACUGGUGACAAUUUACAAUCUGGUAAACUGCUCAUUGAACAGACUGUCUUCAUUUAAGUUAGGUUUUCAAGACUAACAUUAUAGAAGGUGCUAGAAUUCCAUCAAGAAAAGUAUGGUGAAUGUAAUGAAGGAAUUUUAACAGAGAGACAGCUGUGAAAUUUUGUGUCAUCAUAAAUAUUACCUUUGUCUGUACACACAACAUUAGAUAUUGAGAAUGGUCUUGAGAUUACAUAUUGACAAGAUAGUAAAGCCAAGGCAGAUGAAAGAGGUAUGGACAGAACAGUCAAAGCACACUUGAAGGUUGAAGAUAUUUUUUACAUGACCACAGUUUGACCAGUCUAGACUGUGGCGACAAGAUCGAAACAUUGAUGGACGAGGCCUCGAGGGACGAAUCAUUUCUGUUAGAUCAUUAUCAAUGGUGGUCAUAGAUUAUACAAAUACCACUGAUAUACCAUAAGAAGUGUACGACAGACGUAUCAAGUUACAUCAUGGACUGACAGCCCAGGGCCACCUUCGAUCAUGAAAGUCAUUUGUUAAAAAAAAUACUAAAAAAUACGCUUUCAGAAGUCGGGGAGAAACGUUGACAUGUUUUGUUAAGGCCACACGCACAUCGUCUGAUGGCUUUCUUGAUAUAGAUACAUCAUUUUGACAGUGAACGAGACACAGUAACUAUGACUGGCUGGAGUGAAGAUAUCCUUCAUCUUUAUGGGCAUGUUUGGAUCAAGGAAUAAUUGCAA